UAGGGAAUCUUGGACAAUGGGCGCAAGCCUGAUCCAGCCAUGCCGCGUGAGUGAUGAAGGUCUUCGGAUUGUAAAACUCUUUUCUCGGGGGCGAACAACUUCGGGAGGCAAUGCCCGGGGUAUGACGGUACCCGAGGAAUAAGCAACGGCUAACUCCGUGCCAGCAGCCGCGGUAAUACGGAGGUUGCAAGCGUUGUUCGGAAUGACUGGGCGUAAAGGGAGCGCAGGCGGCUUGUUAAGUCUGGAGUGAAAGCCCGGGGCUCAACCCCGGCGGGUCUUCGGAUACUGGCAAGCUUGAGUACGGAAGAGGAGAGUGGAAUUCCAGGUGUAGCGGUGAAAUGCGUAGAUAUCUGGAGGAACACCGGUGGCGAAAGCGGCUCUCUGGUCCGAUACUGACGCUCAGGCUCGAAAGCGUGGGGAGCAAACGGG
RNAcentral lists this ribosomal RNA (429 nucleotides) under uncultured prokaryote. RNAcentral's name for it is "bacterial SSU rRNA". It matches the Rfam family "Bacterial small subunit ribosomal RNA", at positions 355 to 776 of the family's 1533-position model. RNAcentral also lists the same sequence under 1 other name. The record is from RNAcentral.